CAGAGUUCACAGGUACGACAGUCUAACCAGAGUUCACAGGUACGACCCAGAGUUCACAGGUACGACAGUCUGACCAGAGUUCACAGGUACGACAGUCUGACCAGAGUUCACAGGUACGACAGUCUGACCAGAGUUCGCAGGUACGACAGUCUAACCAGAGUUCACAGGUACGACAGUCUGACCAGAGUUCACAGGUACGACCCAGAGUUCACAGGUACGACAGUCUGACCAGAGUUCACAGGUACGACAGUCUAACCAGAGUUCACAGGUACGACCCAGAGUUCACAGGUACGACAGUCUAACCAG
Long non-coding RNA from Oncorhynchus keta (chum salmon), 306 nucleotides. RefSeq lists it as uncharacterized. The record is from RefSeq and is a predicted model, not a curated record. The transcript has 3 exons. NCBI's taxonomy places the organism in Eukaryota, Metazoa, Chordata, Actinopteri, Salmoniformes, Salmonidae.